AUACGGAAGGUCCGGGCGUUAUCCGGAUUUAUUGGGUUUAAAGGGAGCGCAGGCGGAGAUGCAAGCGUGACGUCAAAUUUCGGGGCUCAACCCCGUCUCGCGUCGCGAACUGCGUCCCUUGGUUGCGGGAAGGGGAGGCGGAACUCGUGGUGUAGCGGUGAAAUGCAUAGAUAACACGAAGAACUCCGAUCGCGAAGGCAGCCUUCCGGCCCGUCAACGACGCUCAUGCUCGAAGGUGCGGGUAUCAAACAGGAUUAGAUACCCUGGUAGUCCGCACAGUAAACGAUGGACACCCGCGGUUUGGCCUGUAUGGCUGAGCCGCCAAGCGAAAGCGUUAAGUGUCCCACCUGGGGAGUACGCCGGCAACGGUGGAACUCAAAUGAAUUGACGGGG
This 393-nucleotide ribosomal RNA is filed under the name uncultured bacterium. RNAcentral's name for it is "partial 16S ribosomal RNA". It matches the Rfam family "Bacterial small subunit ribosomal RNA", at positions 523 to 918 of the family's 1533-position model. The record is from RNAcentral.